Molecule: ribosomal RNA, 784 nt
Filed under: Placopsis fusciduloides
Lineage: Eukaryota; Fungi; Ascomycota; Lecanoromycetes; Trapeliales; Trapeliaceae
Description: SSU rRNA
Rfam family: Eukaryotic small subunit ribosomal RNA
Source: RNAcentral
AUACCGUGAACUGCGAMMGGCUCAUUAAAUCAGUUAUCGUUUAUUUGAUAGUACCUACUUACUUGGAUAACCGUGGUAAUUCUAGAGCUAAUACAUGCUAAAAACCUCGACUUCGGAAGGGGUGUAUUUAUUAGAUAAAAAACCAAUGCCCUCCGGGGCUCCCUGGUGAUUCAUAAUAACUAAACGAAUCGCAUGGCCUUGCGCCGGCGAUGGUUCAUUCAAAUUUCUGCCCUAUCAACUUUCGAUGGUAGGAUAGUGGCCUACCAUGGUGGCAACGGGUAACGGGGAAUUAGGGUUCUAUUCCGGAGAGGGAGCCUGAGAAACGGCUACCACAUCCAAGGAAGGCAGCAGGCGCGCAAAUUACCCAAUCCCGACACGGGGAGGUAGUGACAAUAAAUACUGAUGUGGAGCUCUUUAGGGUUUCACAAUUGGAAUGAGAAAAAUCUAAACCACUUAAACGAGGAACAAUUGGAGGGCAAGUCUGGUGCCAGCAGCCGCGGUAAUUCCAGCUCCAAUAGCGUAUAUUAAAGUUGUUGCAGUUAAAAAGCUCGUAGUUGAACCUUGGGCCUGGCCGGCCGGUCCGCCUCACCGCGUGCACUGGUUCGGCCGGGCCUUUCCUCCUGGGGAACCGCAUGCCCUUCACUGGGUGUGCCGGGGAAUCAGGACUUUUACUUUGAAAAAAUUAGAGUGUUCAAAGCAGGCAUUUGCUCGAAUACAUUAGCAUGGAAUAAUAGAAUAGGACGUUGUGGUUCUAUUUUGUUGGUUUCUAGGACCGCCGUAAUGA